This 548-nucleotide ribosomal RNA is filed under the name uncultured Glomeromycotina. RNAcentral describes it as "SSU rRNA". It matches the Rfam family "Eukaryotic small subunit ribosomal RNA", at positions 548 to 1098 of the family's 1831-position model. The record is from RNAcentral. Lineage: Eukaryota; Fungi; Glomeromycota.
UUGGAGGGCAAGUCUGGUGCCAGCAGCCGCGGUAAUUCCAGCUCCAAUAGCGUAUAUUAAAGUUGUUGCAGUUAAAAAGCUCGUAGUUGAAUUUCGGGGUUAGUAGGUUGGUCAUGCCUCUGGUAUGUACUGAUCUCACUGAUUCCUCCCUCUUGACGAACUGUAAUGUCAUUAAUUUGGUGUUGCAGGAAAUCAGGACUGUUACUUUGAAAAAAUUAGAGUGUUUAAAGCAGGCUAAGGCUUGAAUACAUUAGCAUGGAAUAAUGAAAUAGGACGUUUGAACCUAUUUUGUUGGUUUCUAGGAUCGACGUAAUGAUUAAUAGGGAUAGUUGGGGGCAUUAGUAUUCAAUUGUCAGAGGUGAAAUUCUUGGAUUUAUUGAAGACUAACUACUGCGAAAGCAUUUGCCAAGGAUGUUUUCAUUAAUCAAGAACGAAAGUUAGGGGAUCGAAGACGAUCAGAUACCGUCGUAGUCUUAACCAUAAACUAUGCCGACUAGGGAUCGGAUGAUGUUAAUUUUUUAAUGACUCAUUCGGCGCCUUACGGAAAC